RNAcentral lists this ribosomal RNA (464 nucleotides) under uncultured bacterium. RNAcentral describes it as "bacterial SSU rRNA". It matches the Rfam family "Bacterial small subunit ribosomal RNA", at positions 329 to 792 of the family's 1533-position model. The record is from RNAcentral.
GUCCAGACUCCUCGGGAGGCAGCAGUGAGGAAUAUUGGUCAAUGGUCGGGAGACUGAACCAGCCAAGCCGCGUGAGGGAUGAAGGUACAGAGUAUCGUAAACCUCUUUUGUCAGGGAACAAAGGCGGGGACGUGUCCCCGGAUGAGUGUACCUGAAGAAAAAGCAUCGGCUAACUCCGUGCCAGCAGCCGCGGUAAUACGGAGGAUGCGAGCGUUAUCCGGAUUUAUUGGGUUUAAAGGGUGCGCAGGCGGAAGAUAAAGUCGGCGGAAAAAUUGAGAGGCUAAACCUCUUCGAGCCGUUGAAACUGGUUUUCUUGAGUGAGCGAGAAGUAUGCGGAAUGCGUGGUGUAGCGGUGAAAUGCAUAGAUAUCACGCAGAACUCCGAUUGCGAAGGCAGUAUACCGGCGCUCAACUGACGCUCAUGCACGAAAGUGUGGGUAUCGAACAGGAUUAGAUACCCUAGUA